GAUGAGGUGGUCGAGUGGUAAAGACAAUGGACUGCUAAUCCAUUGUGCUCU
RNAcentral lists this transfer RNA (51 nucleotides) under Dryobates pubescens (Downy woodpecker). Its description in RNAcentral is "Picoides pubescens (downy woodpecker) tRNA". It matches the Rfam family "tRNA", at positions 1 to 49 of the family's 71-position model. From Rfam's summary of the family: Transfer RNA (tRNA) molecules are approximately 80 nucleotides in length. Their secondary structure includes four short double-helical elements and three loops (D, anti-codon, and T loops). Lineage: Eukaryota; Metazoa; Chordata; Aves; Piciformes; Picidae. The record is from Rfam by way of RNAcentral.